This 253-nucleotide ribosomal RNA is filed under the name uncultured bacterium. Its description in RNAcentral is "partial 16S ribosomal RNA". It matches the Rfam family "Bacterial small subunit ribosomal RNA", at positions 524 to 776 of the family's 1533-position model. The record is from RNAcentral.
UACGUAGGGGGCUAGCGUUGUCCGGAAUCAUUGGGCGUAAAGAGCGUGUAGGCGGCCCGGUAAGUCCGCUGUGAAAGUCCAGGGCUCAACCCUGGGAUGCCGGUGGAUACUGUCGGGCUCGAGUCCGGAAGAGGAGUGUGGAAUUCCUGGUGUAGCGGUGAAAUGCGCAGAUAUCAGGAGGAACACCAAUGGCGAAGGCAGCACUCUGGGACGUGACUGACGCUGAGACGCGAAAGCGUGGGGAGUAAACAGG